AAUUCGAGUUCCGUGUCCAUCGACUGCAAGUCCUCUCAUGCGUCGCAAGUUUCCUCGCGCUUCCUUUUCUCUCCCCCACCCCCUUCCGCGAUUUACUGUUUCUUCGCGCCCAAUAGAAAUGGGCGACCGCAAGUCUCACUCUCGCCGGCGUUACAAAGAAAGGAAGGAGGAGACCUGAACAGUACAUCCAGAGAAUCCAGCAAAGCAUACCACGGCAUGAAUGUGCAAGUGGAUAGAAUUAAAACACAUGCCAGAAACACUAAUGGAUUCUAAACAAGAUGCGGUUUCAUUUCCUGAGCCUAUACGUGAUAUUUUUAACUGUUCUCCAGUUAAUAUGUCUCCAUUUCCAGAAAUCUAACAGGAGAAUCUCUGACUGCUUAACAGAUCACCUAA
RNAcentral lists this non-coding RNA (393 nucleotides) under Pongo abelii (Sumatran orangutan). The record is from RNAcentral. Lineage: Eukaryota; Metazoa; Chordata; Mammalia; Primates; Hominidae.